RNAcentral lists this long non-coding RNA (666 nucleotides) under Phasianus colchicus (ring-necked pheasant). RNAcentral describes it as "lncRNA (ENSPCLG00000007851.1)". Lineage: Eukaryota; Metazoa; Chordata; Aves; Galliformes; Phasianidae. The record is from RNAcentral.
GUAAGACUCAUAAUUUACAGGAAAGCAAUGAGAGCCAAGUCCCAACCCAGAGCAAAUGGUACUACUGCUGGUGCAAUGAAAGAUCCCACCGGUUAAAAUUCUCAUAGUAUUGAUAGCAGAAGGGAUCAACAAGUAUUGCAAUACUAGUAAGCAUUAAGGGUUGAAGGUGUGAUGGAGCCUUCUAACUAGAACUGAAUUUUUACUGUAAUCACUCAAGGGUCUGUUCUCACAGGAGUAUUUGGUACCCAUGUGGAAAUGAGACUUCCCUCCUUCAUGUUGGUGGAAUAUGCAACUCCCAUGCAUCCCAUGCUCUUCACAACACCCCCAUGUUGCCACUGAUUGCACGCAGGCAGCAGCACUUUGCUAAGCAGAGGAGUGCUUCCAGCUCGCUCGCGUGCUCUCUCUCUCUCUAUCUCCAUGGAGACCUCAGAAAUACUUUUGGAUGCUGCAGCAUCAGGUGCCUCCUACCAUCACAGGCUCUCCUAAGCAGAGUUCUUCAAUGAGAAUUUUGGGACUCAGCCAAGAGACACAAGAUCUCAAAACAGACCAUGCCCAGGAGGAAAGAUGAGACAGAAUUUUAUCACACACAGUUUUUGAUGAUGAGCAAAGAUGUUUCCAUGCUCUGCCUGAUUUUAAAAGAAUAAAAUGCAUGUGCUGUGGCCUUCA